Molecule: ribosomal RNA, 406 nt
Filed under: uncultured bacterium
Lineage: Bacteria
Description: partial 16S ribosomal RNA
Rfam family: Bacterial small subunit ribosomal RNA
Source: RNAcentral
AUUGAACGCUGGCGGCAGGCUUAAAACAUGCAAGUCGAGCGAGCGGAGGACGGGUGAGUAAUGUCUGGGAAACUGCAUGAUGGAGGGGGAUAACUACUGGAAACGGUAGCUAAUACCGCAUAACAUCAGAUGGGCCCAGAUGGGAUUAGCUAGUAGGUGGGGUAAUGGCUCACCUAGGCGACGAUCCCUAGCUGGUCUGAGAGGAUGACCAGCCACACUUGGACUGAGAAACGGUCCAGACUCCUACGGUAGGCAGCAGUGUGGAAUAUUGCACAAUGGGCGCAAGCCUGAUGCAGCCAUGCCGCGUGUGUGAAGACGGCCUUCGGGUUGUAAAGCACUUUCAGCGAGGAGGCGUUACUCGCAGAAGAAGCACCGGCUAACUCCGUGCCAGCCGCCGCGGUAAUUC